This 1010-nucleotide long non-coding RNA is filed under the name Sitophilus oryzae (rice weevil). Its description in RNAcentral is "uncharacterized LOC115891245, transcript variant X2". The record is from RNAcentral. Lineage: Eukaryota; Metazoa; Arthropoda; Insecta; Coleoptera; Curculionidae.
UAUAUAGAAGAAGGAUAUUCAACUCCCUAUAGCGGGCUAUGUUGGAAAAUAUGCCGUAUUUUGUCGAGGAAGACGAUUUCGUCACAACCAAUGAGCGUCGAGUAUUUGAAAUUGAAAACAUAUAAAUUGACGGUAACCUAUGUUUUUUGACUCAUUUCACUGACAGAUGUGAUGAGAUUAUUAUUGUAAUUUAUAGAUCCAAACGUUUUUUGAAAAAAUAAUGUAUUUUAAAGUUAUUUCCUAGAGUUUGGCUUGGCCUUCUAUAUUCUGGUAUUUGUCUACUAAUAAAUAAUAUCUUAUUUUGUAUUUCGAUGUAUGGAAAUCCGCAAGUUUUGUAUCUGAAGCCGCAAAGAAAUUUCGCUCUAUAAUGUUCUAAAUGUGAGUGCAUGUCAAAAAUUUAAAUAUAUACUUGAAAUAUUAUUUCAAGUUAUAUGCUUUGACAUUUUUUGGAAGUAAACAAAUAUUGAAGAAAGUGUUGUGCCUUCACAGAAUUUAAAUUGGCAUUAGGAAUAGAUUUCCUUGAUUUAGUAAUAAUAUUGCUCAUAGAAAUUGAUAAUGUGAAGAAUAACAAUACAGGAACAUAGAAUAACAAGAAAGAAAUUCUAGCAGCAAGUUAGGUUAUGAGAUAAAUUUUAUUUAUAUAGUUUGUUUAAAGAGUUUAGUUUGAAAAAAAGGUAAAACAAUUAUUAUUGUCCAGGUCAUAUUUGAUAACUGUUGUUAAUUGAUAACAUAUUACAGGGACACAGUAAAAAGACAAAACAUUUAGACCCUUUGAAAGAGAAAUGUUUGCAAUGGAUAUUAAUAAAUUCUAGCCAAUUUGUAUGAUGUACAAUGCAGGCAAUAUUUCUGCCUCCUAACGGACUAUUCGCGUAAAAGAAGAUAACAGAUUUAUUAUUAGUUGGCUAGUGUGUUUGGUUUGGUUUGUAGGAUAGCCAUUGGUAAUUAUAAAGUAUGAAGUCGUCAGGUAUUAAUAAUAGGAAUUGAUCAAAGCUUAUAUAUUUAUUGUGAUA